Molecule: ribosomal RNA, 333 nt
Filed under: uncultured bacterium
Lineage: Bacteria
Description: bacterial SSU rRNA
Rfam family: Bacterial small subunit ribosomal RNA
Source: RNAcentral
AAAACACUGAUGAACGCUGGCGGCGUGCUUAACACAUGCAAGUCGAACGGAGCUAUCUGGAUAGAGGAUUCGUCCAAUUGAAGGGUAUGCUUAGUGGCGGACGGGUGAGUAACGCGUGAGUAACCUGCCUAGGAGUGGGGAAUAACAGUCCGAAAGGAUUGCUAAUACCGCAUGAUGCAGUUGGGUCGCAUGGCCCGGACUGCCAAAGAUUUAUCGCUCUUAGAUGGACUCGCGUCUGAUUAGCUAGUUGGCGGGGUAAAGGCCCACCAAGGCGACGAUCAGUAGCCGGACUGAGAGGUUGGCCGGCCACAUUGGGACUGAGACACGGCCCAG